RNAcentral lists this ribosomal RNA (589 nucleotides) under uncultured bacterium. RNAcentral's name for it is "partial 16S ribosomal RNA". It matches the Rfam family "Bacterial small subunit ribosomal RNA", at positions 355 to 1375 of the family's 1533-position model. The record is from RNAcentral.
UGGGGAAUUUUGGACAAUGGGCGAAAGCCUGAUCCAGCAAUGCCGCGUGUGUGAAGAAGGCCUUCGGGUUGUAAAGCACUUUUGUCCGGAAAGAAAUCCUUGGCUCUAAUACAGUCGGGGGAUGACGGUACCGGAAGAAUAAGCACCGGCUAACUACGUGCCAGCAGCCGCGGUAAUACGUAGGGUGCAAGCGUUAAUCGGAAUUACUGGGCGUAAAGCGUGCGCAGGCGGUUUGCUAAGACCGAUGUGAAAUCCCCGGGCUCAACCUGGGAACUGCAUUGGUGACUGGCAGGCUAGAGUAUGGCAGAGGGGGUAGAAUUCCACGUGUAGCAGUGAAAUGCGUAGAGAUGUGGAGGAAUACCGAUGGCGAAGGCAGCCCCUGGGCCAAUACUGACGCUCAUGCACGAAAAGCGUGGGGAGCAAAACAGGAUUAGAUACCCUGGUAGUCCACGCCCUAAAACGAUGUCAACUAGUUGUUGGGGAUUCAUUUCCUUAGUAACGUAGCUAAACGCGUGAAGUUGACCGCCUGGGGAGUACGGUCGCAAAGAUUAAAAACUUAAAUGAAUUGACGGGGUCAUAGCUGUUUCCU